This 1344-nucleotide ribosomal RNA is filed under the name Triticum aestivum (bread wheat). Its description in RNAcentral is "partial small subunit ribosomal RNA". Lineage: Eukaryota; Viridiplantae; Streptophyta; Magnoliopsida; Poales; Poaceae. The record is from RNAcentral.
AUGCUCGACGGAUCAGCCAAAGACACUCAUCCCCCAUUCCCCACUCCUACUCCCCAGCCCGAACUCCGCCGCCGCCGCCAUCCAUCUCCGCCGCCGCAACCUACCUUUUCCAGCCGCCACCCUUUCCAAGCUAUGGAGAAGCCGGCGGAGGAGCCGAUGUCCAGGCUCACCCACGACCUAAUCGCGGAGAUCCUCUCUCGCGUGCCCUACAAAUCACUCUGCAUCUGCAAGUGCGUCUGCCCGACCUGGCGCGGCAUCAUCGCCGACCCCGCGCACCGGAAGAAGAUGGCGCAGACUCUGGCCGGCUUCUUCUACCACAUCAACAACGAAGCCACGGCCGAGCCCCGCGGCUUCGCCGGCGUCAAGUACGCGGAUAUGUCUGCUUUCCCUUGGUCCAGCGUCCCCGAGACCCACCCGCGCCUGCCACUACCGCCCGACAGCACGGACCGCUUCUUCUCCCUCGAGGGUUCCUGCGAUGGGCUGUUUCUUGCAAGCAUGCGCACGGGCACCCCUGCUGCAAAUUUUUGGUACAUGGUCUCCAAUCCAACUACCAGUGAGUAUAUCGUGCUGCCCCACUCUGGCCAAGACGCCGGCAACAUCAGCAACGCUUACCUGGGUUUCGACAGUGCCGUAUCCACUCAAGAGUUUCAUGUGUUCGAGUUUGUACAGGAUUUGUCACCCCCGGACCACCGGGGCUUACAAUCCGUGGUUGUGACCGGAGUGAGGAUUUACUCUUCAAAAACUGGUGCAUGGGUAGCAAUGGAACCCAAAUGGGACAUCCAAGUUGGCUUGUGCUUUGGUCAACCUGGAGUUUUCCAUAAGGGAUGUUUGCACUUGCUCACAGGUGAGAACGGUUUGGGGGUAGUUGAUGCAGAAGGGCUAAGAUGGAGAACUGUCCCGCUGCCAAUACCCGUUGCUAGGAGUUUCGCAGGUCUCAUCGGGAAGUCUGCUGGACAGCUACUUUAUAUCGCCUCCCUUGAUAGUCAAGGAUAUGGCUCAGACAGAUCUUUGACUAUAUCGGUUUACGUUCUUAGUGUUGAGAUUUAUAACUGGGAUGUCUGUCAUCAGGAUGACAAACGCAUGUACUGGAAAUUGUACAAGUUUUCAGAUGUAAUUCCAGAGAAGAAGUUUCCCAAACUCAUUGGAGUACACCCACAUGCCAAUCUGAUCUUCAUAGCUCAUUCAGAAAACGAACUGUUGGCAUAUGAUUUGGAUCGUCAUGAAAGCCCAGUUGUAUAUCACCUUGACCAUAAGUACCAGAUAUUUAUGCAAUUUUGCCCAUAUGUGCCGCUGUUGUCCUGUUUACCAUUGGACGGAGCAAUACGGCUGGCAGCUCCCAAUUGA